RNAcentral lists this ribosomal RNA (609 nucleotides) under uncultured bacterium. RNAcentral's name for it is "bacterial SSU rRNA". It matches the Rfam family "Bacterial small subunit ribosomal RNA", at positions 338 to 1533 of the family's 1533-position model. The record is from RNAcentral.
CCUACGGGAGGCAGCAGUGGGGAAUAUUGGACAAUGGGCGAAAGCCUGAUCCAGCAAUGCCGCGUGAGUGAUGAAGGCCUUAGGGUCGUAAAGCUCUUUUACCAGGGAUGAUAAUGACAGUACCUGGAGAAUAAGCUCCGGCUAACUCCGUGCCAGCAGCCGCGGUAAUACGGAGGGAGCUAGCGUUGUUCGGAAUUACUGGGCGUAAAGCGUGCGUAGGCGGUUAUUCAAGUCAGAGGUGAAAGCCCGGGGCUCAACCCCGGAACGGCCUUUGAAACUAGAUAACUAGAAUCUUGGAGAGGUCAGUGGAAUUCCGAGUGUAGAGGUGAAAUUCGUAGAUAUUCGGAAGAACACCAGUGGCGAAGGCGACUGACUGGACAAGUAUUGACGCUGAGGUACGAAAAGCGUGGGGAGCAAACAGGAUUAGAUACCCUGGUAGUCCACGCCGUAAACGAUGAUAACUAGCUGUCCGGACACUUGGUGUUUGGGUGGCGCAGCUAACGCAUUAAGUUAUCCGCCUGGGGAGUACGGUCGCAAGAUUAAAAACCUCAAAAUGAAGUAGUAACGGUCGUGUUAAACGUUAGUCGAAGGACGACACGAGGGAGGAGG